AGGCACGUAGCUCAGUGGUAGAGCACUACCCUGACGCGGUAGUGGUCGCCAGUUCGAUCCUGGCCGUGCCUACCA
This 75-nucleotide transfer RNA is filed under the name Rickettsiales bacterium. Its description in RNAcentral is "tRNA-Val". It matches the Rfam family "tRNA". From Rfam's summary of the family: Transfer RNA (tRNA) molecules are approximately 80 nucleotides in length. Their secondary structure includes four short double-helical elements and three loops (D, anti-codon, and T loops). The record is from RNAcentral. Lineage: Bacteria; Pseudomonadati; Pseudomonadota; Alphaproteobacteria; Rickettsiales.